UCCAGUGUGGUGUAGUGGUUUAUGUCAGACAAGGACUCUGGAGACCAGGGUUCAAAUCCCUGCUCAGCCA
Non-coding RNA from Phrynosoma platyrhinos (Desert horned lizard), 70 nucleotides. Lineage: Eukaryota; Metazoa; Chordata; Lepidosauria; Squamata; Phrynosomatidae. The record is from the annotation of a GenBank genome assembly.